CCUAAUACCCCUCUCUCUCCCUCUCUGAGUUCCAGCGCCGCCACCACCCCUCUGAGUUCCAGCGCCGUCACCAUCAACAGUAGCGUCACCUUCUCAGCUUCUCUGUCAUCGUGGUGUCGUCAAAUCCGCCUCUGUCCUCGUCGUUGUUGGCCGUCCCUCUUCUCCUCCUGGAUCCCUUCCCCUCGCAUCGCCGGGUCUGCUCGGAGCUGUUGUUGGUGUCGUCAAGCCACUUCUGUCCUUGUCGUCGUCGGCCUCCAUGAACUGGUCUCUGUACUCGUCGUCUUUCCCCGUCUUUGUCUUCGAUCCCUUUCUCUGUCGAGCUCACGGCGAAGUUCGAACGUUACUUUCUGCCGCCGUGGACUUUUCGCUCAAUCUGCCGCCGUAGAAAAUUACAGAGUUUGAGCCGGCAGUUUCGGUUCGCACUGCGGUAGCACUCAGUAGCAGUAGUACCUCCGCCGAGCAAAUCCACAAUCCGAACACCUAUGGCUGUUCCUCCAAUUGAUCCUCCUUCCAAUCGGAACCGAGAGAAAACGUUGCUUGUAGCAUUUCCAGGUUUGGCCAUUAAUUAAUACUAUAAAGCUGAAUCAUCAUAAAUUUUAAAGAACUAGUGGGCUAAGACUCUUCUAAUACUUCAGUGGCACUUCUAUUCAGACUUUAAUGGUGCCAACUGCCAACUUCCCUAGCAAGUAAGUUUCUGAACUUUCUAACUUCCUUUGAUAAUAUAUAUAGUUUCCAAGUAGGUAGUUUUUGAUGUUUCAGACUGUUCUAUGUCUCUAAUAGAAAGUAGCAUGUUGUGUGAUGCAAUGAGCUGCAUACUUGUUCCUGGACGAGGAUUUCAGUAACUAUGGGUAAGGCUGCAGCUGCAGGGCUAGUUUGAUUCUGCAGCUAUUUUGUUCUGCAAUGCCCAGUAUUUAGAGUGCUAUAAAUUGAGUUUUGUGUCUCGGGUUUCCUGAUGACAAGGAAUUAUCAAUAAUACAUUACAUUUCAUUAGGUUUGACAUUGCUUUUGUAGUCUUUGAUAAAUUUGAAAAUUGGAUCCAUAAAAUAUUUGGAAGUGUUAAAAUAGAAUUAGAUGCAGCAUCUAGUUAUUAAAACAUCAGUAAAAAAUUUAAAAUACGGCUACCUUAAGAACUAGUUAGGCAUAUAGAUAAAUGAUAGAUAUGUCAUUAGACAAGCUUAAUCAUAUAUACUAAAUUAUGAUCGCUUUGAAAAGAUGGCAUUUAAGGCUGUAAACUUUUGUUGAGAAACAAAGGAGGCCACUCCAUAAUGACUCAAUGUUAUUUUUAUCAAGGAUGAAAUGAAGAAUUCUCUUACUAGUUUUGCCUCCUUGUACACUUGGGAUUAAAAAAGAGGUCAAGCCAUAACUCACUUAUCUUUUGUUGACUGUCGGCUAUUCUUUUCCUUUUCAUUUUUUUUUGUCAAGUGGAUUACAAGUGAAUCUUAUAAUCUUUAUACUGGUGCUGAUUUGGUAAUCCAUAUAGUAUGUGCUUUGAAGCUGCUUCAUCUUUUAUUUUGCAGCUGGAUAUGCUACAAGAGGAGAAUGAGGUUAUAUUAGAAAAGGUGGUGCUCUUCUGGCCUAACAAAGUGGAGGCCAGAGCUAGGAAGCUUGAGAAACAGUUUGCUGAGAUUGGGGUUGGAGUUGGGUUGCUGAAUUUUCUAUUCAGGUUUUGUUCUUGAUAAUUUGCUGGAUUGAGAUUGAGAUUGAAAUUGAGAUUGCUCGUCUCUUGAUAUUGGGUUGCUGAUUUUCUAUUCAAGUCUUGUUCUGGUUAAUUUGCUAAUUUGUUGUUGCGAUCCUUGAGAUUGAGACUGCCCUUGUUUCUUGUUAUUCGGUUGCCAUCACUGAACCUUGUAUUUGUUGUUAGUAUUGCCGUGCUCUCCGCACCUCUGCUCCAGGCCACUUCCUCUCUGGUUUUGCUGCAUCUAGCCCUCCGUCGUACCUCUGUGCCUUGAAAGGUACUUUUUACUGUGAUUAUUUUAAUUGGUUUACGGAUUGUUAGGUUGUUAUUAUUGUAAUUUAGGAUUCUUGAUCAUGUUGAUUCUGUUAUGUUGUUUUGUUCUUAUUUUUUUGCGUAAAUUAUAUUUUGUCGUUAAUGUUUUCGAAAUUUUUUCAAAAUUGAUCGUUUAAUUUGUUUCAAUUGGAAUUUGUAUCAAUGAAGAACUGUAAUUGGUACAUUGGCAAGAUUGAACUCAAAAGAGUAGAAAAUGACAGAGUUAUCAUUUUAGAUACAUUAUUGCGCAGUAGUGAAAAUAGGGUUAAAAUUUUGGGAAUAUCAAGUAAUGACAGCGACAAAGUUGAGAGACGAACGUUGUUUUCAGACUUUUUUGACACUCUCAUCGAAUUUUUUUUUACAAGAAUUUUUUUAUUUUUUCGAGAAUAAUGGGGAGAGAUGUGUUUUUAUUAUGAGAAUUAUCACAUGAAUUUAGCAGGGCUCAAGAUUGGAACAAAUUCAAAGUUUAUUUCAAACAAUUUUUACGAGCUCUUUCAAGUUUAUAUGAAGAGAAGAAUACGUGUCAUGGGAAAAUAAGUCAAUAAGUCAGUAUAAUUUUAUAAUAGGGAUAGAACACUUGUUACUGGAGUCGAGGGAAAUCUUUUUCCUGAUUUUAUGGGUAAAGAUGCCAUCGUUACGGAUGAGAUGCAGCAUCUACAUAACAUUUUGUUUUCUUAACCGAAUCUUAGUCCAUCUUUUAAAGAACUUGAUAUGUCCUUAGAUUUUUUUACUAUGGUGAGUUAAUCUAUUCUUUUAAUUAGUAUAUGAUUUUUAUUUGAAUGUCGUAUAUAUUUUAUGAUUUAUUACUAUUAUUCCGGUGUGGAUCAUGGAUGCUGGUGUUUUGUCAUUCAUUUUUUCUUGGAUUUUCACACAUUAUUUUCUUUUGGUCAACUGAUAUUUAAAUGAAUAUUUAAGAAAAUUUUGGCGUGCCAUCAGUAUGAGAGACGCAAUUGGAAAGCAACUUUGAUAUUAGAUAUAUAUGAAAAAUUAGCAAGAUGGAGGGAACAGAAUGAUGCAAAUUUUGAACGGUGUAAGUGCAAAUUAUGGUUAUGAUUCUUGUGAGUUUUUUCGCUUUGCAAGAAACUGUGUAGCUCACCUUAACAUUGUAGUUAAUUAUUUUUUUAUUUAUACUUUUGAAUUUAAUUUAACAUAGUAUUUUGAUAUUUUCACAAGAAUAAAUAUUAUCUAAAUAUUGUUAUAUUUUUUAAAAUUAUAUAUUAAAUAUUAUUUUAUUUUUUUAUAUAAUUUUUUUCUAACAGCCUAAUGUUGGGGUGUGUCAACAAGUUGAAACUUUGACGAGAAUGAUUGAGGAUUUGUACCCUUAUUUUUUUUAUAUGCAUCGUGUGUCGGUGAAAAUUUAUAUUUUUGAUAUGCCUAACGGUUGAAUCCAAGAUUGUACUUCGUGUGUUUGGAUUCAGCCAUUAGAGCAUAUCAAAGAUAUAAAUUUGCCUCAAACACACACUAUGUACUGUGAUAUCCUGUGCAUAGAAAAGUAGAGUAUGAAUCUUCAACUAUUUUCGUCAAAGUUUUAGCUUGUUGACACAUUCCAACAAUAGGCUGCUAGAAAAAAAUUAUAUAAAAAAAUAAAAUAAUAUUUAGUAUAUAAUAUAAAAAAAUAUAACAAUAUUUAGAUAAUACUUAUUUUUGUAAAAAUAUCAAAAUGCUAUGGUUAAAUUAAAUUAAAAAAUAUAAAUAUAAAAAAUAAUUGAUCACAAUGUUAAGGUGAGUUACACAGUUUCUUGCAAAUCGAAGAAACUCACCAGAACCGUAACCAUAAUUUGUACUCGCACCGUUCAAAAUUUGCAUCAUCUCCGGAUAGUUCUCUGUACACUCCAUCUUGCCAAUUUAUCAUAUAUAUCUAAUAGUAUUGAAGUUGCUUUCCAAUUGUCUUUCAGACCGAUGGCACGCCAAAAUUUUCUUAAAUAUUUAUUUAUAUAUUGGUUGGCCAAAAGAAAAUAAUAACGUGUUGAAAAUUCAAGAAGAAAAACGGAUGACAAAACAGGUUCUAUGAUCCACACCUGAAAUAAUAGUAAUAAAUCGUAAAAUAUAUACGAAAUUCAAAUAAAAAUUGUAUACUAAUUAAAAGAAUAGAUUAACUCACCAUAGUAAAAAAUCUAAGAACAUAUCGAGUUCUUUUAAAGAUGGACCGAGAUUUAAUGAAGAAAAUAAAAUGUUACGUAGACGCCGCAUUUUAUUCGUAAGAAUGGCAUUUUUGCCCAUAAAAGAUAAAAAAAUUUCUCUCGACUCUCCGGUAACGAGUGUUUUAUCCCCAUUUAUUACAAAAUUAUACUGGUUUAUUUUUCCAUGACACAUGUUCUUCUCUUCAUUUAAACUUGACAGAGCUCGUAAAAAUUAUUUGAGACAAAACAUCUGCUAAAUUCAUAUGAUAAUUCUCGUUGUAAAAAUCAUCUUUUUCCAUUGUUCUCGAAAAAAAUAAAAGUCGUCGUAAGAAAAAAAGUUCUGAUGAGAUUGUCAAAGAAGUUUGAAAAUAGCGUUUCUAUCUUUCAACUUCUUCGCUGUCAUUAGUUGAUACUUCUAAAAUUUUAACCCUUCUGCUACUACGCAAUGAUGCAUGAAAAAUGAUAACUCUGCACUUUUCUACUCUUUUUGAGUUCAACCUUGUCAAUAUACCAAUUAUAGUUCUCCAUUGAUACUAAUUCACAGUUAGAACAUUUUAAACGUUAAGAUCAAUUUUGAAAAAUUUCGAAAAAUUUUGAAAACAUUGACAACAGAAAAUAUAAUUUACCCAAAAAACAAGGACAACAUAACAGAAUCAGUAAGAAACCUAAACCACAGUAAUAACAAUAAUUGAUUGAAGGAGGAGAAUCACACAGAAAUAACAACCUAACAAUUAUGGUUCUCCAUUGAUACUAAUCCCAAUUGACACAAAUUAAACGUUAAGAUCAAUUUCGAAAACAUUAACGACAAAGAAUAUAAUUUACCAAAAAAAAUAAGGACAACAGAAUAAUAACAUAACAGAAUUAACAAUAAUUGAUUGAAGGAGGAGAAUCACACAGAAAUAACAACCUAACAAUUAUGGUUCUCCAUUGAUACUAAUCCCAAUUGACACAAAUUAAACGUUAAGAUCAAUUUCGAAAACAUUAACGACAAAGAAUAUAAUUUACCAAAAAAAAUAAGGACAACAGAAUAAUAACAUAACAGAAUUAACAAGAACAUGAUCAAGAAUCCUAAACCACACUAAUAACAACAAUAAUUGAAGGAGGAGAAUCAUAAUAAUAACAACCCAACAAUUUGUAAACCAUUUGAAACAAUAAUCACAGUAAAAAGUACCUUUCAGGGCUAGAUAUAGCAAAACUAGAGAAGAGGUGGCUUGGAAUAGAGAAAAGAGGAGCAUGGGAGAACUGGAGCAAAGGGGGUGGAGCUCAACAACAAAAGAAUUUAGCUAAGUAAUUAUUUGAACAAGACAGUAAUAUUCAAGGUUUGCAACCCAAUAACAAGAAACAGAGCAUUUUCAAGCUUAAGGAUUAGCAACAACAAUUUAGCAAUUUAACAAGAAUAAGAAUUGAAUAGAAAAUCAGCAACCCGAUAUCAAGAGACGAGCAAUCUCAAUCUCAAUCCAGCAAAUUAUCAAGAACAAGAACAAGGCCUGAAUAGAAAAUUUAGUAACCCAAUAACCAAAAAUAAGAACAAUCUCAAUCUCAAUCCAACAAAUUGAAACAACCCAAUAAUUAGCAAAAUAACAACGGAACAAGAUCAAGAAUACAUUCACGGUAAAAAAAUAAGGACAACAUAACAGAGUUAAUAGAAACAUGAUCAAGAAUCUUAAACCCCAAUAAUAAUAACAAUAAUUGAAUAACAACAAUAAUUGAAGAAGAAUAAUCACAGUAAUAACAAUUUAACCAUAGUAAACGAAUUAAAACAAUAAUCACAGUAAAAAGUACAUUCCAAGGCAUGCAAGACGAGCAUAGAAGAGCGCAAUGGGGACGACGGCUUCGACCAGAUGCAACGAAGGAGGUGACACUGUGGUGGCUGGACGGAGCAGAAUGGCAGAAGAGAAGAUUUUGCUUUGCUGAGGAAGUGAGGGUCGAAGGAGAUGCUGAGAAGGUGCGAUUGUCGAAUGAGGAAGAAGAGCAGACGACUAAAGGACGAUUGUGGUGCCUGAGCCCGACGAACGGCAACAGUCCUUGCGGUGGUGUUCGAGAAGCUAGGGUUUCAAGGUUUCUUUCUUUGAUUUCUUUCAGGGAAUUAGGGUUUCCUUCUUAGGGUUUCCUUCUUUGAAUUUGAGUGAACAGAAGGGGAAGUCACGCGAUGUGCUAUUCUUUUUCUACUUCUAGGAAAACUGGCCGGGUUUUGGUUAUGUCCAACUGGCCGAUUCAACAGGUCAUGCUUGGUCGAGUCCAAUUGCAAAUGCGUUCGGUUUGUGGUUGGACCCAUUAGACUAGUCAGUCUGGCCCGAUUUCUAGAGCCAUGAUCUUUUAAGCAACAAAUUAUUCAAGGUUCAAUCAGUAACAAAUUCAUACCAGUGAUGAUUUUCAAGAACAAAAAUACUAGUUCAGUGAUAUUUUCAACAACAAAAUCAAAGUGUAGUAAUGUAAUAAAACUGAAAAUGAAAGAACAGAAAAUUUUGUUGAAACUCACCAAAUUGGGGACCGGCUUUUGGUUGCGUGAAGGAAGUUGACAGUAAGACUCGAAGCAAGAAGACGACAACGACGACCAGCCCCGGAAAUUGCUGCUUCUGUCGCUAGCGACUAUGAGCGAAAGGAGGGGGUGCGAUUGAGUGAGAGACGGUAACAAGAGAGAGAGCAACAACGACAAUCAAUCCUAGGACCUGCUGCUUUUGCCACCGGUGAUGACAAGUGCGGAAAGGUGCACGUGUGCGAUUGAAUGCAAGACGGUAAUGACUAACGACAACCUUGAGUGCGAGAGCCAGUAAGCCAUAGUGAGAUAGUGAUGAGAGGAAGUACACGUUUAGGACAUAAGGGUUUUAAUUAAGAAAAACGACGUUUUUUGAAAUUUAAAAAACAAACAUUAAGCAUGAUCCGGUCCAAGUCAUGUCACUGGUUUUGAUAAAAACUGGACGGGUUAAAUUGUUUUUUAUCAGAUUCGAUGUUUAGACGGUACGGCUCAACCUGGCCAAGUGACCGGGUGAUUGAGUUUUCGGUAAAACUGAUUGGGUUGACUGAUAAUUAUGUUUUGUAGCAUCACAAGAGAUUAAUAGAGAGAGCUCCUCCAACGUCUACCUUAUCACACCAGGUCGGUCAUUCAUUAAGAUGAGUGUAAUGUAUUGAUAGAUAAGGUCGGUCAUUCAUUAAGAUGAGUGUAAUGUAUUGAUAUGAAUAGUUUGAUUUCGUUUUACAUCUAAUAAUUCAAAUAAUAAAAAUAGUUUGUCAUUCUUUGUCCUUACAA
Arachis stenosperma is the source of this 7354-nucleotide long non-coding RNA. RefSeq lists it as uncharacterized. The record is from RefSeq and is a predicted model, not a curated record. The transcript is spliced from 4 exons. NCBI's taxonomy places the organism in Eukaryota, Viridiplantae, Streptophyta, Magnoliopsida, Fabales, Fabaceae.